This is a long non-coding RNA of Rattus norvegicus (Norway rat), 1647 nucleotides long. RefSeq lists it as uncharacterized. NCBI's taxonomy places the organism in Eukaryota, Metazoa, Chordata, Mammalia, Rodentia, Muridae. The record is from RefSeq and is a predicted model, not a curated record.
GAGACAGCAACAGCAGCAGCAAAAACCAACUCAGCAGCCAUAGGGAAGGCCAGGCGGACAAAGGGCGAGAAAGAUCUUCCUUCAGACACGUCCCUCUCUAUCUGGGCUAGCGGAAGGUGCUGCCCAUUCCUGGCGUGGGUGGGUUCUCCCACCUCCAUUAAGAGAAUCAGGAAGGUUACUUAGUUGAGGCUCCCCAUUCAGAUGAGGCUAAUUUGUGGAAAUAAACCAAACAUCACAGACAUCUUAAGAAGAAAGUCUGAAAGAAUGGUGAAGGGGAACAAGACAGGGUGAUUGGGGGAGGAAUGCUGUGUGCUUUCUCUCAUAUUAAGAACAUAGACUGGUGUGUGUGUGUGUGUGUGUGUGUGUGUGUGCGCGCGCACACACACAUAUCAAUCCUGUUCAGGCCUUUAGAACCUAGGAAGAGACCCUCCCUGGAGAAGGGGACUAAGAGUUCAGAUAGAUGGAGCCUCAGCCUAUCAGAGGACAGCCUCCCACAGGAUGAACCCAUAGAUGGAGCCUCAGCCUAUCAGAGGACAGCCUCCCAUGGGAUGAACCCUGUUAGACAUCUUCCCCCAAUACAGCUCACCUAUGCAGCAGCAAAGCCUCGUUCUACCCCCCUGUAUGAGUUAAUGACCUCACAAUGUCAGAUUCCACAGGUCAGAGGCUUGGGCACAGCAUGUAAACACCAAGGGCUUCAUGGGAAGGGAUUGGGCUGCCUAGCCCUUGUCUAGUGUGGAUAGCAUCUGUCACUGUGGCACAAGAAAACCAGAACCAAGUGGAAUCCCCAGAAGAAAGCUUUCCAUUCUUCAAGUCCAUAGAGAGAGACACACCACAAAACUCCUGGUGGUGUGUGGCCAUGUCCUGCCACUUCCGAGGAUUUGGAUUGAUUGGCAGAGUGAUGUCAGCUGAGACAGACGCAUGUGGGAAAUGCACAGCUAAGAACUGCUCCUGUCAUCCCUGCUGGUCCAAAUCCCUCCCGCCUGGCUGUGUCUGCUAGGUCAUGUCACCUGCUGCUAUUCCAACACUACUGAAUUGGACUGCUGAUAUAUCCGUGAAGUGUUCGAGAGUGGAUCGAGCUGCCACUGCUGACUGCUGAACUGCUGACUUCCUGACAACACAAAUGGAUUUCCAGGAUGAGAUUCCUCAAUCACAUCGCUUUCCACAGCGUCCAGUCUGUCACAGACUUGUGCCUGCCGGGCAUCCUGGACACAAGGACAUCGUAUUAGCUACAAGCAUCCUCCACCCUGGAUGGGCUGUGAGGGUGGCCCAUAAGACAUGUCCAUACAAAAGCCUUCAUCCAGAAAUUACGAAUUUUCUGUCUUGACUGAUCUUCACUUCAUUGAGCAAAGGACUUCUGGCAUUCUGGCUGGUCCUGGUCACUCCUGCUGACUCCUGCUGAUUCAUCAGAGGCUUAGAGGUUUCUGCUGGAUUCUGCUGCUCCUGGUGAUUCGUGUUUGGUGACACUUUUGAACUAGACUGUUGUUAUCCUGACAAACGGAGAUUAGAAUUGCCCCAAAGAAAUACUUUUAAACAGGUCCACAUCCCCUUGUCCUAUUUACCAUCUUUUCUCCCCUACCUUUGGACGGUGGAAUAGAAGAGGGGUUGAAGCGUUUGAGAACCCUUAUUAAAGUAGGUUUUAAAAAAAAA